AGUUGAUAGACACCGGCGUAAAAUGUGGUUAGGAAAUAAAUAAACUAAAGCCGAACAUCUUCAAGGCUGUCAUACGCACCCGAAGAUAUGAAGUACUACUACGAAAGUAGCUUUAAAUAUCCGAACCCACGAAAGCUAGGCCACAAACUGGGAUUAGAUACCCCACUAUGUCUAGCCCUAAACAAAGGUAGCAACCUUACAUCUGCUACUCGCCAGGGAACUACGAGCAUAAGCUUAAAACCCAAAGGACUUGGCGGUGCUUUAGAUCCACCUAGAGGAGCCUGUCCUAGAACCGAUAACCCCCGUUCAACCUCACCCUUUCUUGUUAUUCCCGCUUAUAUACCGCCGUCGUCAGCUUACCCUGUGAAGGGUUAAUAGUAAGCACAACUGGCACAACCCAACACGUCAGGUCGAGGUGUAGCGUAUGAAAGGGGAAGAGAUGGGCUACAUUCACUGUUACAGUGUACACGGAUAACAAGUUGAAACACCCGUUUAAAGGAGGAUUUAGCAGUAAGGAGAAAAGCAGAGCGUUCCCCUGAAACCGGCCCUGAAGCGCGCACACACCGCCCGUCACUCUCCCCGACCCUGCAAACUACAGUAAAUAACACACUAAAGCUAUUAAAGGGGAGGCAAGUCGUAACAUGGUAAGUGUACCGGAAGGUGCACUUGGAAUAACC
This 677-nucleotide ribosomal RNA is filed under the name Micropercops swinhonis. Its description in RNAcentral is "partial 12S rRNA". It matches the Rfam family "Bacterial small subunit ribosomal RNA", at positions 611 to 1528 of the family's 1533-position model. The record is from RNAcentral. Lineage: Eukaryota; Metazoa; Chordata; Actinopteri; Gobiiformes; Odontobutidae.